GACGAACGCUGGCGGCGUGCUUAACACAUGCAAGUCGAACGGAAAGGCCCUGCUUUUGUGGGGUGCUCGAGUGGCGAACGGGUGAGUAACACGUGAGUAACCUGCCCUUGACUUUGGGAUAACUUCAGGAAACUGGGGCUAAUACCGGAUAGGAGCCCCUGCUGCAUGGUGGGGGUUGGAAAGUUUCGGCGGUUGGGGAUGGACUCGCGGCUUAUCAGCUUGUUGGUGGGGUAGUGGCUUACCAAGGCUUUGACGGGUAGCCGGCCUGAGAGGGUGACCGGCCACAUUGGGACUGAGAUACGGCCCAGACUCCUACGGGAGGCAGCAGUGGGGAAUAUUGCGCAAUGGGCGGAAGCCUGAUGCAGCAACGCCGCGUGCGGGAUGACGGCCUUCGGGUUGUAAACCGCUUUCGCCUGUGACGAAGCGUGAGUGACGGUAAUGGGUAAAGAAGCACCGGCUAACUACGUG
This 468-nucleotide ribosomal RNA is filed under the name uncultured bacterium. RNAcentral describes it as "partial 16S ribosomal RNA". It matches the Rfam family "Bacterial small subunit ribosomal RNA", at positions 28 to 507 of the family's 1533-position model. The record is from RNAcentral.